AACGGACGCUGGCGGCAUGCCUAACACAUGCAAGUCGAACGAAGGCUUCGGCGUUAGUGGCGCACGGGUGCGAAACGCGUGGGAAUCUGCCGCUCGACUCGGAAUAAAAGUUAGAAAUGACUGCUAAUACCGUACGAUGACUGCGGUUCAAAGAUUUAACGCUGAGGGAUGAGCCCGCGUAAGAUUAGGUAGUUGGUGGGGUAAAGGCAUACCAAGGCGACGAUCUUUAGCUGGUCUGAGAGGAUGAUCAGCCACACUGGGACUGAGACACGGCCCAGACUCCUACGGGAGGCAGCAGUGGGGAAUAUUGGACAAUGGGCGAAAGCCUGAUCCAGCAAUGCCGCGUGAGUGAUGAAGGCCUUAGGGUUGUAAGGCUCUUUUACCAGGGAUGAUAAUGACAGUACCUGGAGAAUAAGCUCCGGCUAACUCCGUGCCAGCCGCCGCAGUAA
RNAcentral lists this ribosomal RNA (449 nucleotides) under uncultured bacterium. RNAcentral describes it as "partial 16S ribosomal RNA". It matches the Rfam family "Bacterial small subunit ribosomal RNA", at positions 29 to 523 of the family's 1533-position model. The record is from RNAcentral.